RNAcentral lists this ribosomal RNA (775 nucleotides) under uncultured Neocallimastigales. RNAcentral describes it as "partial large subunit ribosomal RNA". It matches the Rfam family "Eukaryotic large subunit ribosomal RNA", at positions 23 to 646 of the family's 3401-position model. Lineage: Eukaryota; Fungi; Neocallimastigomycota; Neocallimastigomycetes; Neocallimastigales. The record is from RNAcentral.
AGAGAGAGACAUGCGCGCAUAUCAAUAAGCGGAGGAAAAGAAACUAACAAGGAUUCCCCUAGUAACGGCGAGUGAAGCGGGAAGAGCUCAAAUUUGAAAUCUUAAAGGGUUUCCCUUUACGAAUUGUAGUUUAAAGAAGUGUUUUCUGUUGAGGUUUUGGUAAAAGUUCUUUGGAAUAGGACAUCAUAGAGGGUGAGAAUCCCGUAUUUGACCUUUACUUUCAACUUUGUGAUACACUUUCAAAGAGUCAGGAUUGUUUGGGAAUGCAGUCCAAAAUGGGUGGUAAAUUUCAUCUAAAGCUAAAUAUUGGCGAGAGACCGAUAGCGAACAAGUACCGUGAGGGAAAGAUGAAAAGAACUUUGAAAAGAGAGUUAAGCAGUACGUGAAAUUGUCAAAAGGGAAGCGUUUGACACCAGUGUUGUUUUUCUGAAAAUCAAUUAAAGAACUGUUUAUGCUAAGUUGUUUAGACUUUAUCAGCUAACUGUUUAGUUUUGAGCUUUUCUUUAAUGCACUUUUCAGUUAACAAGUCAACAUCAAUUUCUUUUGCUGUAAAAAAGCUUGAGGAAGGUGGCUUGAGAUUCGUCUUAAGUGUUUAUAGCCUCUUGCCUAUGCAGUCGGAGAGAUUGAGGUCUGCAGCGUAGAUCCUUCGGGGCUAAAUGCAUUUGUGCUAAGUUAUAGCAUUUUAUAGACAACUUGUUGACUAUGAUUUGUCUUGUAGCUUACUCGCUUAUGUUAUUUUACCUACGCUUAGGAUGUUGACGCAUGAGAUAUACGC